This 832-nucleotide long non-coding RNA is filed under the name Anser cygnoides (Swan goose). Its description in RNAcentral is "lncRNA (ENSACDG00005010031.1)". Lineage: Eukaryota; Metazoa; Chordata; Aves; Anseriformes; Anatidae. The record is from RNAcentral.
AGGACAAUUACGAUAUUUUCCUGAUGUUGGAAUUCCCUAGCUCUUCUCUUUUCAAGUUCUAAAUUAUUUCAUUUUCCGGCAUGCAGUUGUUUGCAUCUUUGCAUAUCUGCUUUCUCUGAAUGCCAAACCACAGUUCCACUUCUCUCCAAAACCAUGUGUUUGCAAAGACAUCUCCAAACCUUGGAAGAAAUCUAUAAUAUUUAUUCUAAGCAUAGAGAGAGUUGUUUAAGACUUUAAACAGUGGGUUAAAUCUCAGAGUCAUUACUUUGUGUUUUUGUUUGUUUGUUUGUUUUUAGCCUUUUAUCAGGUAAUGUUACAUUUGAUUAAAUGGGUGCCUGUUUAAAUACAACCAUGUGGCUGCAUUGCUGAACUCUGGGAAAUGAGUUAGAGCCAAACACGGAACUUCUACCCUGCCUUCCUGUGGGUGGAUGAUUGUACCAGUCGAGACCUAACUGCUAUUAUCCAUGAUGUAACUAAGCAACACCACCUUCAUGUUAUUGAUGGGUCUGAGUGCACACAGAUCUUGCUGACUGGGACGAGCAUUGGUACACUCCCCUGUAACUGGGGGAAGUAUUUCUUCUCAGCUAUCUAUUCUCAGCAUGUGCUAUGAGAAGAGAAAUGCCAUGGUGACCAAAUGCAGGUACUCUGAGGGCUGGGAAGUGAUUGAAGAAAUGAACAUCCAGUCCCAUCCCACCAUGCUUGCACAGUAGGCAGAUAUUCAGGAUUUGUUUUAUCACCAGGGUCAUUGUACAGCCCUGUACCUUACCAUCCACUUUUGAACUCUGCUGUGGGGAGAGAGCUAUUUCCACCUUCCGGUGAUUGUCCAUCAUGC